CCUACGGGUGGCAGCAGUGGGGAAUAUUGGACAAUGGGCGCAAGCCUGAUCCAGCCAUGCCGCGUGAGUGAUGAAGGCCUUAGGGUUGUAAAGCUCUUUUGUCCGGGAAGAUAAUGACGGUACCGGAAGAAUAAGCCCCGGCUAACUUCGUGCCAGCAGCCGCGGUAAUACGAAGGGGGCUAGCGUUGCUCGGAAUCACUGGGCGUAAAGCGCACGUAGGCGGAUCUUUAAGUCAGAGGUGAAAUCCCAGGGCUCAACCCUGGAACUGCCUUUGAUACUGGGGAUCUCGAGUCCGGAAGAGGUGAGUGGAACUCCGAGUGUAGAGGUGAAAUUCGUAGAUAUUCGGAAGAACACCAGUGGCGAAGGCGGCUCACUGGUCCGGUACUGACGCUGAGGUGCGAAAGCGUGGGGAGCAAACAGGAUUAGAUACCCCAGUAGUC
This 440-nucleotide ribosomal RNA is filed under the name uncultured bacterium. RNAcentral's name for it is "bacterial SSU rRNA". It matches the Rfam family "Bacterial small subunit ribosomal RNA", at positions 338 to 795 of the family's 1533-position model. The record is from RNAcentral.